This 254-nucleotide ribosomal RNA is filed under the name uncultured bacterium. Its description in RNAcentral is "partial 16S ribosomal RNA". It matches the Rfam family "Bacterial small subunit ribosomal RNA", at positions 524 to 776 of the family's 1533-position model. The record is from RNAcentral.
GACGUAGGGCGCGAGCGUUGUCCGGAAUUAUUGGGCGUAAAGAGCUCGUAGGCGGUGUGUCGCGUCGGCCGUGAAAACCUGCAGCUUAACUGUGGGCUUGCGGUCGAUACGGGCAUCACUGGAGUUCGGCAGGGGAGACUGGAAUUCCUGGUGUAGCGGUGAAAUGCGCAGAUAUCAGGAGGAACACCGGUGGCGAAGGCGGGUCUCUGGGCCGAUACUGACGCUGGGGAGCGAAAGCGUGGGGAGCGAACAGG